CGACUAUAAAAGAGGUGAAAACUCAGGUAUGCAGGCUAUAGGGAUUCAAGGUAAAGCUUUAGCAAGAUCAAAGCAUUUCUUUUGCAUAAAAGCUUACUAAGAGUAAAACCUACUUUCAAGUUUUAACUCAAGGUUAUCAUUUAUGACUAACCAAUUAUUAUCAAGCUUCCAAACCAUAUCUUUCUUAUACCAAAGAUUCACUUAUUACUACGAUGAUGGUACGAGGAUUGAGGCUCCAUAUCCGAGGAAACAC
Molecule: long non-coding RNA, 253 nt
Filed under: Sorghum bicolor (sorghum)
Lineage: Eukaryota; Viridiplantae; Streptophyta; Magnoliopsida; Poales; Poaceae
Description: long non-coding RNA (SBIC_LNC000132)
Source: RNAcentral